AAUGCCACGACAAAAGGGCAGCAAACUCGCGAGAGCUAGCAAAUCCCAUAAACCGUGGCUCAGUUCAGAUCGUAGGCUGCAACUCGCNUACGUGAAGUAGGAAUCGCUAGUAAUCGCAGGUCAGCAUACUGCGGUGAAUACGUUCCCGGGCCUUGUACACACCGCCCGUCACACCAUGGAAGUUGGCCAUGCCCGAAGUCGUUACUCCAACCCUUGUGGAGGAGGACGCCGAAGGUGGGGCUAAUGACUGGGGUGAAGUCGUAGCAAGGUAGCCGUACCGGAAGGUGCGGCUGGAUCACCUCCUAACAGGGAGACAACAAAAUGUUUAAUAUUAUUAUUUUGUCACCUUAGGUCGAUCGGUAUCUCACGUUCUUAAUUAAUUAAGAAUUUCAUUUCCUAAGUUUUUCUAGGUCACACCCAUUAUUUUUCCUGGGCCAUUAGCUCAGGUGGUUAGAGCGCACCCCUGAUAAGGGUGAGGUCCCUGGUUCAAGUCCAGGAUGGCCCAUAUCUCUAUGUUGGGGGUAUAGCUCAGUUGGUAGAGCGCCUGCUUUGCAAGCAGGAUGUCAGCGGUUCGAGUCCGCUUACCUCCACUGAUUACCACCUCUUCCAUAAUCUGUAGAAAGGAAAUCUUUUGAGUUGUGAUCAAAUUCUGAACGAAUCUAGCUUCCUGAUGAAAUCAUUAAGAUGCUGGACUCAUUGAAUUAAUUUCAUUGUUUUCAGAGAACCUUGACAACUGCAUAGAUUAUUUUUAAAGACAAUAAGCAUCUUUAAUGAUGCAGAUUUAUUAUUUGUGCGAAUGCAUUAAUAACAAUUCUAUUAAGCUGAUGCUUCAAUUUUGAAGUUAUUGGUCAAGCUACAAAGGGCUCACGGAGGAUACCUAGGCACACAGAGGCGAUGAAGGACGUGGUUACCUGCGAUAAGUCUCGGGGAGUGGAAG
This 937-nucleotide unclassified non-coding RNA is filed under the name uncultured bacterium. RNAcentral describes it as "partial contains 16S ribosomal RNA, 16S-23S ribosomal RNA intergenic spacer". The stretch from base 1 to 306 matches the Rfam family "Bacterial small subunit ribosomal RNA", at positions 1229 to 1533 of the family's 1533-position model. The record is from RNAcentral.